AUGCUCGCUUCAGCAACACAUGCACUAAAAUUGGAAUGACGCAGAGAAGAUUAGCAUUGCCUCUGCACAAGGAUGACACAGAAAUUUGUCAAGCAUUCUAUAUAUAA
Molecule: small nuclear RNA, 107 nt
Organism: Manis pentadactyla (Chinese pangolin)
Lineage: Eukaryota; Metazoa; Chordata; Mammalia; Pholidota; Manidae
Source: RefSeq, a predicted model, not a curated record